GCCGGGAUGGCGGAACUGGCAGACGCACGGGACUUAAAAUCCCGCGGUGGUGACAUCGUGUGGGUCCGAUUCCCACUCCCGGCACCA
RNAcentral lists this transfer RNA (87 nucleotides) under Desulfobacterales bacterium. RNAcentral describes it as "tRNA-Leu". It matches the Rfam family "tRNA". From Rfam's summary of the family: Transfer RNA (tRNA) molecules are approximately 80 nucleotides in length. Their secondary structure includes four short double-helical elements and three loops (D, anti-codon, and T loops). Lineage: Bacteria; Pseudomonadati; Thermodesulfobacteriota; Desulfobacteria; Desulfobacterales. The record is from RNAcentral.